This 314-nucleotide ribosomal RNA is filed under the name uncultured Glomus. RNAcentral describes it as "SSU rRNA". It matches the Rfam family "Eukaryotic small subunit ribosomal RNA", at positions 781 to 1092 of the family's 1831-position model. Lineage: Eukaryota; Fungi; Glomeromycota; Glomeromycetes; Glomerales; Glomeraceae. The record is from RNAcentral.
CAAGCUAACGCUUGAAUACAUUAGCAUGGAAUAAUGAAUAGGACGUUCGAUCCUAUUUUGUUUGGUUUCUUAGGAUUGACGUAAUGAUUAAUAGGGAUAGUUGGGGGCAUUAGUAUUCAAUUGUCAGAGGUGAAAUUCUUGGAUUUAUUGGAGACUAACUACUGCGAAAGCAUUUGCCAAGGAUGUUUUCAUUAAUCAAGAACGAAAGUUAGGGGAUCGAAGACGAUCAGAUACCGUCGUAGUCUUAACCAUAAACUAUGCCGACUAGGGAUCGGAUGAUGUUAAUUUUUUAAUGACUCAUUCGGCGCCUUACG